RNAcentral lists this ribosomal RNA (445 nucleotides) under uncultured bacterium. RNAcentral describes it as "partial 16S ribosomal RNA". It matches the Rfam family "Bacterial small subunit ribosomal RNA", at positions 354 to 796 of the family's 1533-position model. The record is from RNAcentral.
GUGAGGAAUAUUGCACAAUGGAGGCAACUCUGACGCAGCCAUGCCGCGUGCAGGAAGAAGGCGCUACGCGUUGUAAACUGCUUUUAACCGGGAAGAAACCCCAGGACGUGUCCUGGGUUGACGGUACCGGAGGAAUAAGCACCGGCUAACUUCGUGCCAGCAGCCGCGGUAAUACGAAGGGUGCAAGCGUUAUCCGGAUUCAUUGGGUUUAAAGGGUGCGUAGGCGGAGCGUUAAGUCAGUGGUGAAAUCCUGCAGCUUAACUGUAGACUUGCCAUUGAUACUGGCGCUCUUGAGUGCGCUUGAAGUGGGCGGAAUGUGCCGUGUAGCGGUGAAAUGCUUAGAUAUGGCACAGAACACCAAUUGCGAAGGCAGCUCACUAAGGCGAUACUGACGCUGAGGCGCGAAAGCGUGGGGAGCAAACAGGAUUAGAAACCCGUGUAGUCC